RNAcentral lists this small RNA (645 nucleotides) under Pongo abelii (Sumatran orangutan). Its description in RNAcentral is "processed transcript". The record is from RNAcentral. Lineage: Eukaryota; Metazoa; Chordata; Mammalia; Primates; Hominidae.
GUUGUGGUGCAUAGACCCAGAGUAUAGACAAAAUCUAAUUCAGGCUUUGAAAAAGACACCUUAUCACCCACACCCACACGUGUUCAAUACACCUCCCACCUGUCCUCAGGCAUAUCAAAGCACAUCAGGUCCACCCAUCUGGCCGGGCAGUACCUUCUUCAAGAGAAAUGGAGCCCUUCUCCAAGAUGGAGUCGCACUCUUGUUGCCCAGGCUGAAAUGCAAUGGCGUGAUCUUGGCUCACUGCAACCUCUACAUCCCGGGUUCAAGCAAGAUUCUCCUGCCUCAGCCUCUCGAGGAGCUGGGACUACAGGUGCUCGCCACCAUGCCCGGCUGAUUUUUGUAUUUUUUAGUAGAGACAGGGUUUCACCAUGUUGGUCAGGCUGGUCUCAAACUCCCGACUUCAGGUGAUCCCCCCACCUCGGCCUCCCAAAGUGCUGGGAUUACAGGUGUGAGGCACCACCCUGGCAAUUACAUGGUAAAUUGUUUGGGAAAAUUCACUGAGCUGUACACAUACAAGGACUUUGCUGGACAUACGUUAUUCCAAUAGAAAGUUUCAAAAAUGAUUGGGCAGCUGCAAUUUCAUUACACCUAUUUGAUUUCAGAUUUUUAUUAUGUACAUGUAGUGAACCUCAGAAUUCUUACAUG